Molecule: ribosomal RNA, 390 nt
Filed under: uncultured Clostridium sp.
Lineage: Bacteria; Bacillati; Bacillota; Clostridia; Eubacteriales; Clostridiaceae
Description: bacterial SSU rRNA
Rfam family: Bacterial small subunit ribosomal RNA
Source: RNAcentral
UAAUGGCGCCUUCCUUCGGGGCAUGAGAGACAGGUGGUGCAUGGUUGUCGUCAGCUCGUGUCGUGAGAUGUUGGGUUAAGUCCCGCAACGAGCGCAACCCUUAUCCUUAGUAGCCAGCAGGUAAAGCUGGGCACUCUAGGGAGACUGCCAGGGAUAACCUGGAGGAAGGUGGGGAUGACGUCAAAUCAUCAUGCCCCUUAUGAUUUGGGCUACACACGUGCUACAAUGGCGUAAACAAAGGGAAGCAAGACAGUGAUGUGGAGCAAAUCCCAAAAAUAACGUCCCAGUUCGGACUGUAGUCUGCAACCCGACUACACGAAGCUGGAAUCGCUAGUAAUCGCGAAUCAGAAUGUCGCGGUGAAUACGUUCCCGGGUCUUGUACACACCGAA